This 377-nucleotide unclassified non-coding RNA is filed under the name uncultured Actinomycetes bacterium. RNAcentral's name for it is "uncultured actinobacterium contains 16S-23S intergenic spacer region". Lineage: Bacteria; Bacillati; Actinomycetota; Actinomycetes. The record is from RNAcentral.
UCCGAUUUGUCACCGGCGGUCUCCCAUGAGUCCCCGGCAUGACCCGCUGGCAACAUGGGACAGGGGUUGCGCUCGUUGCGCCACUUAAGGCAACACCUCACGGCACGGGCUGACGACAGCCAUGCAGCACCUGUGCUAGCCCCCGAAGGACACGGGCUUUCACCCGCUUUAACUAGCAUGUCAAGCCCAGGUAAGGUUCUUCGCGUUGCAUCGAAUUAAGCCACAUGCUCCGCCGCUUGUGCGGGCCCCCGUCAAUUCCUUUGAGUUUUAGCCUUGCGGCCGUACUCCCCAGGCGGGGCACUUAAUGCGUUAGCUACGGCGCGGAAAACGUGGAAUGUCCCCCACACCUAGUGCCCAACGUUUACGGCAUGGACUAC